UAGUUGCCAGCAUUUAGUUUGGGCACUUCUGACGAGACUGCCGGUUGACAAACCGGAGGAAGGUGGGGAUGACGUCAAAUCAUCAGCCCCUAGAGCUGGGCACACACGUGCUACAAUGGACGGACAAACGAGUAGCGAGACCGCGAGGUUAAGCUAAUCUCCAUAAAGCCAGUUCUCAGUUCGGAUUGUCAGGCUGCAACUGCGCCUGACAUGAAGCCGGGAAUCGUA
RNAcentral lists this ribosomal RNA (228 nucleotides) under uncultured bacterium. Its description in RNAcentral is "partial 16S ribosomal RNA". It matches the Rfam family "Bacterial small subunit ribosomal RNA", at positions 1112 to 1329 of the family's 1533-position model. The record is from RNAcentral.